Molecule: ribosomal RNA, 478 nt
Filed under: uncultured organism
Description: partial 16S ribosomal RNA
Rfam family: Bacterial small subunit ribosomal RNA
Source: RNAcentral
UACACUCCUGCGGGAGGCAGCAGUGGGGAAUUUUGGACAAUGGGGGCAACACUGAUCAAGCAAUGCCGCGUGAGUGAAGAAGGCCUUCGGGUUGUAAAGCUCUUUUGUCAGGGAAGAAACGGUGGUGGCGAAUAACUACUACUAAUGACGGUACCUGAAGAAUAAGCACCGGCUAACUACGUGCCAGCAGCCGCGGUAAUACGUAGGGUGCAAGCGUUAAUCGGAAUUACUGGGCGUAAAGCGUGCGCAGGCGGUUGUGUAAGUCAGAUGUGAAAUCCCCGGGCUCAACCUGGGAAUUGCAUUUGAGACUGCACGGCUAGAGUGUGUCAGAGGGGGGUAGAAUUCCAAGUGUAGCAGUGAAAUGCGUAGAUAUGUGGAGGAAUACCGAUGGCGAAGGCAGCCCCCUGGGAUAACACUGACGCUCAUGCACGAAAGCGUGGGGAGCAAACAGGAUUAGAAACCCCAGUAGUCCCAUGAU